UAAAAAUGAGGAACCGCUCCUUGAAUGUUCUGGACAGAGCACAGAAUUGCUUCUUAAGUCAGCCCGGCGCGGUUGCAAUAGACAGCAAAAAGGUAAACGUUUGCCUGAAAUCCGCACGCCAGCUCCACCGCCCCGCCCGAUGGUCCCAGUUCCUCUGGGAAUCGUCCUGUAUGCAACAUCUUCACAAGAGUGGCAGGCAGUUGAAUCUCUGGCCUUCGUGGGACCACUGGACAUCUGGCAGAGAACCAGGAAACCACGGUUCCCUUCUGUGAGUCCCUCAGCCGGAAAACUACAAGGUGUGUGACUGUAGGAUGAGGCUUUUUGAAAGAUGAAGUACGACACUUUGAGAAAGUGUUUGGAAAGAAACUGGCUGAUGUCGAAUGGAAAUCUGAACAUUCACAGAUUUCUUUUCCUAGAUAUAGAAACGCAAAAGCUUACAUGUACACAUUUAAAAAAAAUUAAAUUAUCUUUUCUUUCUUGCC
This is a long non-coding RNA of Homo sapiens (human), 482 nucleotides long. Ensembl annotates it as NR2F2 antisense RNA 1. Its record names the gene NR2F2-AS1. NCBI's taxonomy places the organism in Eukaryota, Metazoa, Chordata, Mammalia, Primates, Hominidae. The record is from Ensembl.